GUCACUCGGUGUUCUCACCGAAAGCACGUAAUCGCCGGCGUAACUCAUGUUGGCUGGGGGGCCUCCCGGCGCGCGGAGAGGCUGGGGUGCGCCCCC
RNAcentral lists this long non-coding RNA (96 nucleotides) under Aotus nancymaae (Ma's night monkey). RNAcentral's name for it is "HOXA11 antisense RNA 1 conserved region 1 (ENSANAG00000019164.1)". It matches the Rfam family "HOXA11 antisense RNA 1 conserved region 1". The record is from RNAcentral. Lineage: Eukaryota; Metazoa; Chordata; Mammalia; Primates; Aotidae.